CAUCAACAUCCCUUACUCCCCGCCCCCCCACGAACAGGCCUGCGUAGUCGGUUUGGACCACGUGACAGCACUACUGGCCACACUGGAUUGGACCAGGGCCGGUCACCUGAUCCACGCCAGCCAAUCAGAGCUCUCUCCAGAGAAGGCCGCACAGGCCCUUGCAAACUGGGUUGGAAGCACUGGGCUGUCUUUGAAGAGCCUCCCGCAGAGGUCCCCCGGUCCCUCGGCCCUCUGGUAGCCUUCUGCUCUGAACCCCACACUGUCACCUAUCACAGUCCCACCCUUCGUGAUGAAUCUCCUGCGAAAUCAACAUCUUCAUUAGGGCCUGGAGAUGGAGAGAGCCUGAGCUUGCAGGAUAGACCUGACCUCGUGUCCUAUCCUUCCUGGGGGCUGCAACCCAUCUCACAGCUCCUCACAACAAGCCCAGUGGCCAGAAAAGGAGUCACGAAAACUGACAUCAGAUCGUGGUGGUCCCUGCCCCUAUCACCCCAGAUCUGCCACGGCCCAUGGGGUGAUUCAUCUCUCCUCACCACCGCCUAA
This 540-nucleotide long non-coding RNA is filed under the name Ursus maritimus (polar bear). RNAcentral's name for it is "lncRNA (ENSUMAG00000011925.1)". The record is from RNAcentral. Lineage: Eukaryota; Metazoa; Chordata; Mammalia; Carnivora; Ursidae.